AAUUGGGGGAAAUUUGGGGGAAAAUUUAAUUUUGGGUUGGGUUUAUGGGUGGUGUUUGUGAUUUCUUGGGUUUUAGGGAAGGGAAUUCCUGGCAGGAGCUGGGAAUUUAUCCCAAAAUUGGGCUGGAGGAAUAAAUUGGAUUUUUUCAGGGAUUUUCUUCCUUUCCUUUCCUUUCCUUUCCUUUCCUUUCCUUUCCUUUCCUUUCCUUUCCUUUCCUUUCCUUUCCUUUCCUUUCCUUUCCUUUCCUUUCCUUUCCUUUCCUUUCCUUUCCUUUCCUUUCCUUUCCUUUCCUUUCCUUUCCUUUCCUUUCCUUUCCUUUCCUUUCCCCCUUUUCCCUUCUUUUCCCCUUUCUUUCCCCUUUUUUCCUUCUCGUUUUCCCUUUCCCCCUUUUUCCUUUUCCCUUUUCUUUCCCCAUUUUUCCUUUUCUUUCCCCCUUUUCCUUCUCCUUUUCCAUCUCUCCUUCCCCCUUUUUCCUUCCCCUUUUCUUUUUCCCUUUUUUCCUUUCUCCUUUCCCCUUUUCCCUUUCUCCUUUUCCCUUUUCUUUCCCCCUUUCUUGUUUCCCCCAUUUUCCCAAUCCUUUUCCCUUUCUCCUCCCAUUUUCCCAUCCUUUCUCCUUUCCCCUUUUUCCUUUCCCAUCCCUGCUCCUCCCUCCCUGUCCCACCAGAAACGCUCCCCAGGAUCACUGACUCGGUGCCAGCUGUGCCCUGUGUGCAUGCCAGGCACAUCCCUGGCACGUUGGCACUGUGGGGUCUGUGCCAGGCAGGACAUUGGGGUUCAGCUCCCGCUCCUGGGGUGAUUCACGUUGGGUUUGGGGUGGAACGAGGAGCUGGCAAAGAGGGGAAAGCAGAUCCAGGUGGAAAAACAUUCCCAGAGCUGCAAGGGAGAUUCCAGAUGCCAGGGACACCCCUGCAGUGCCAGGGGCACACCUGGAGUGCCAGGGGCACACCUGGAGUGCCAGGGAUGCACCUGGAGCACCAGGGACACACCUGGAGUGCCAGGGACACACCCAGGGACACACCUGGAGUGCCAGGGGCACAUCUGGAAUGCCAGGGGCAUGCCAGGGGCACACCCGAGCACCAGGGGCACACCUGCAGUGCCAGGAAUACACCCGGGGACACACUUGCAAUGCCAGGGGCACACCUGCAGCACCAGGGACACCUGCAGUGCCAGGGACACACCUGCAGUGCCAGGGACACACCUGGAGUGCCAGGGGCACACCUGGAGCACCAGGGGCACACCCGGAGUGCCACGGGCACACCUGGAAUGCCAGGGACACAUCUCGAGUGUCAGGGACACACCCAGGGUCACACCUGUGGUGCCAGGGACACACCUGGAGUGCCAGGGACCCGCAGGUGA
RNAcentral lists this long non-coding RNA (1356 nucleotides) under Junco hyemalis (dark-eyed junco). RNAcentral describes it as "lncRNA (ENSJHYG00000002255.1)". Lineage: Eukaryota; Metazoa; Chordata; Aves; Passeriformes; Passerellidae. The record is from RNAcentral.